AGAGUUUGAUCCUGGCUCAGGACGAACGCUGGCGGCGUGCCUAACACAUGCAAGUCGAGCGAUGAAAUCCUUCGGGAUGGAUUAGCGGCGGACGGGUGAGUAACACGUGGGUAACCUGCCUCAAAGAGGGGAAUAGCCUUCCGAAAGGAAGAUUAAUACCGCAUAAUAUGUUUUGGUCGCAUGACUGAAACAUCAAAGGAGCAAUCCGCUUUGAGAUGGACCCGCGGCGCAUUAGCUAGUUGGUGAGGUAACGGCUCACCAAGGCGACGAUGCGUAGCCGACCUGAGAGGGUGAUCGGCCACAUUGGAACUGAGACACGGUCCAGACUCCUACGGGAGGCAGCAGUGGGGAAUAUUGCGCAAUGGGGGAAACCCUGACGCAGCAACGCCGCGUGAAUGAUGAAGGCCUUCGGGUUGUAAAGUUCUGUCUUCUGGGACGAUAAUGACGGUACCAGAGGAGGAAGCCACGGCUAACUACGUGCCAGCAGCCGCGGUAAUA
Molecule: ribosomal RNA, 498 nt
Filed under: uncultured bacterium
Lineage: Bacteria
Description: bacterial SSU rRNA
Rfam family: Bacterial small subunit ribosomal RNA
Source: RNAcentral